GGUGGCUCAGUAGUAAAGCACUUGCCUUGCAUGCAUGAGGCCCUGGGUUUGAUUCCCCAGCACCA
This 65-nucleotide transfer RNA is filed under the name Dipodomys ordii (Ord's kangaroo rat). It matches the Rfam family "tRNA". From Rfam's summary of the family: Transfer RNA (tRNA) molecules are approximately 80 nucleotides in length. Their secondary structure includes four short double-helical elements and three loops (D, anti-codon, and T loops). The record is from Rfam by way of RNAcentral. Lineage: Eukaryota; Metazoa; Chordata; Mammalia; Rodentia; Heteromyidae.